Molecule: non-coding RNA, 45 nt
Filed under: Schistosoma mansoni
Lineage: Eukaryota; Metazoa; Platyhelminthes; Trematoda; Strigeidida; Schistosomatidae
Source: RNAcentral
AUCCAGUUGACGAGUCCCAAAUAGGACAAAACGUGCGUCCUGGAU